RNAcentral lists this ribosomal RNA (607 nucleotides) under Novilysobacter spongiicola. RNAcentral's name for it is "bacterial SSU rRNA". It matches the Rfam family "Bacterial small subunit ribosomal RNA", at positions 319 to 916 of the family's 1533-position model. Lineage: Bacteria; Pseudomonadati; Pseudomonadota; Gammaproteobacteria; Lysobacterales; Lysobacteraceae. The record is from RNAcentral.
AUGGAACUCGGUCGACGAUUCCUACGGGAGGCAGCAGUGGGGAAUAUUGGACAAUGGGCGCAAGCCUGAUCCAGCCAUGCCGCGUGUGUGAAGAAGGCCUUCGGGUUGUAAAGCACUUUUGUACGGGAAGAAAAGCUUCCGGUUAAUACCCGGGAGUCAUGACGGUACCGUAAGAAUAAGCACCGGCUAACUUCGUGCCAGCAGCCGCGGUAAUACGAAGGGUGCAAGCGUUACUCGGAAUUACUGGGCGUAAAGCGUGCGUAGGUGGUUUGUUAAGUCUGAUGUGAAAGCCCUGGGCUCAACCUGGGAAUUGCAUUGGAUACUGGCAGUCUAGAGUGCGGUAGAGGGUAGCGGAAUUCCCGGUGUAGCAGUGAAAUGCGUAGAUAUCGGGAGGAACAUCCGUGGCGAAGGCGGCUACCUGGACCAGCACUGACACUGAGGCACGAAAGCGUGGGGAGCAAACAGGAUUAGAUACCCUGGUAGUCCACGCCCUAAACGAUGCGAACUGGAUGUUGGGGACACUUAGGUCCUCAGUAUCGAAGCUAACGCGUUAAGUUCGCCGCCUGGGAAGUACGGUCGCAAGACUGAAACUCAAAGGAAUUGACGG